GUGGGGAAUAUUGGACAAUGGGGGGAACCCUGAUCCAGCCAUGCCGCGUGUGUGAAGAAGGCCUUUUGGUUGUAAAGCACUUUAAGCGAGGAGGAGGCUACUGAGAUUAAUACUCUUGGAUAGUGGACGUUACUCGCAGAAUAAGCACCGGCUAACUCUGUGCCAGCAGCCGCGGUAAUACAGAGGGUGCGAGCGUUAAUCGGAUUUACUGGGCGUAAAGCGUGCGUAGGCGGCUUUUUAAGUCGUAUGUGAAAUGCCCGAGCUUAACUUGGGAAUUGCAUUCGAUACUGGGAAGCUAGAGUAUGGGAGAGGAUGGUAGAAUUCCAGGUGUAGCGGUGAAAUGCGUAGAGAUCUGGAGGAAUACCGAUGGCGAAGGCAGCCAUCUGGCCUAAUACUGACGCUGAGGUACGAAAGCAUGGGGAGCAAACAGGAUUAGAUACCCUGGUAGUCC
This 451-nucleotide ribosomal RNA is filed under the name uncultured bacterium. Its description in RNAcentral is "partial 16S ribosomal RNA". It matches the Rfam family "Bacterial small subunit ribosomal RNA", at positions 354 to 796 of the family's 1533-position model. The record is from RNAcentral.